CAUCCUCAUCCAGGCCACGCUCCUCCUCCAAGGCCAGGUCCCCAUGCACCACUACCAGGUCUAGGUCAUCCUCCUGAGCCACACAAGCCUCGUCCAUGACACCACACUGCAUAUCCAAUACAAUGUGAACCUUAGCUUGGUACUUGAGCGACUCUUUCACCAGUUUCGUGUUAUUUAUGUAAUAAAUUGAUAAAAACUAUUUCUACUAAAAUAAUUUAAUAAAAUAAAGUAGCAUGUUUGAUAUAUUUUCUAGGUUAUGGAGGAUAAGACUUAUAUAUAUUAAAGAGACACUACCUUUCGUUGUAGGCAUAUAAUGAACAUUUGAAGAAUAUAAUGAAAUCAAUUGAAAGAUAAAUGAUAAUAUAAUGCAUUAACAUUAAGAGAAUUAUCUAAAAAUAAAAAGUGAACAUUAACAUAAUAAAAUGAAAUAAAUUAAAAUAAGAAAACAUGAAUGUAGAUGAGACUUGUGUAUGGAAGGAAAUAAGAUAAAUUGCCAAAAUUAACUUAAGUGUAGUGAAAAAGAAAAUGUCAACAUAUUGUCACUGUUAGAAUCAAAACCACUAGUUUCAAUCUGAAGUUAGCAAUGGAUAGAUAUAAAUAAAAUCAACUUUUAUAUUAAUACUAUUUGUCGAAAUCAUUUUUUUACAAGGGGUCAAUUUUAAUUUUGAAAACAAAAACAAACAUGAGAGUCGCUACCAAUCCUUUUUGAUGAGGUGGGAUCGAGUCACCUCGAAAAAUGGUUGUUUUUUAAUAAAUGGUUUGAUUUAUUAAAACAACGAUUUCGGUUUACAGAAUUCAGAAUAAACAGGUUCGUGAGUCGGUUACGUACGAGGAAGGAUUAGCACCCUCGAAAUGCCCAAAAUUGAUACAUAAUUGAUUAAUUAGUGUCUUAAUGUCGAAAAUUAAAAACUUUGAAGAGAAUUAAAAUAUGAUCCUUUGUUAAAUUUGCUUAAUUGAAUUUUUUUUUAGAAAAUGGCAUAUUUCACGUUAAUUGAAAAAAAGAAUUAUGUCCCGUAAGUUAGGACACAAUAUCUUAAAUCACCAAAAUGAGAAUAAACACCGAAAGUUUUAUUAUUUUAGUUUUAUUAUUUUAAAGGAUAUGCGAUAUCUUAAUUAAAAAAAAGAAUCAUAUUUCGUAAGUUAGAACACGAUUUUUUAUUAAUUCCCGAGAUGAUUAAAAAAUUUAUGUUAAAAAAGGAUUCGUGUAUUCGGAUUUAUCGAGAAAAUCGAAACCCCGUAAGUUAGGAAAAAACUUUUUGAAUUCAGAAAUACGAAAUAUUGCUUAUUUAGAACAACAUUUUUAAUAUAUCAAGUAAAAUGUAACACAAUUUUGUAGUAAAAUGUGAAAUAAAUUACGGUGCUAAUAUGCAUAGCAGAAUAACAAAAAAUACAUUAAUGUGAACAAAAAUAUAAAGAACGAAAAUAAAAUAAAAUAAAAUAAACAAACCAAAAAUAAAAAGACAAAUAAUAAGGAUAACGAACUAAAAUUUAAAACUAAAGACUUAAUAUUAUAUAAAUAAAUAUUGUAUAAAGCAAUUUAAGAAUAAUAAUAUUAAUAAUAAUGACGAUGAUAUUAAUAAAAAUAAUAAAAAUAAUCUAAAACUUUAAAAUUAUAUAAGAGGAUAUAAAUAAAUAGAUGAUAAAUAUAAGAGAAAUAUAAUAAUAAUAGUAAUAAUAAUGCAAAAUUAAUUAAUUUAAUAAUAUAAUAAUAACAAGUAAAUAAAUAAAAAAAAAUAUAAAAUAAUAAUAGUAAUAAUAAUAUUAAAUUAAUUGAUUUAAUAAUAAAAUAGCAAAAAUAACAAAAACAAAUGGGCCAAAUUGAACUUUAAAACAGAAGUUUGGGGCAAAUCAGAAAUAAAUAAGACGGAAAAGGACCAAUUUGAACGCGCGAAUAACAAGAAGGGACCGAAAAAGAAAUAAUCCCCACCCUCCAAAACGCACAGCUUCGAGGUGGACCAAAUUGAAAGCAGAAACAAAUUAUAGGGCAAAAUUAAAAAAUAGAAGAAACUUGAUUGCAAACAAUUAAAAAUCGGAAGGGUUAAAAGCGCAGUUAGCCCUUCCAUUCAAAAAAGCGGAUCCUAGUAGCGGGUCGGGUUGGCGCGCGGGUUAGACACAAAACGAUGACGUUUUGGUGCCUGAGAGGCCUGCCCAAAACGGCGCCGUUUUAGAAACCUAUUUAAGUCAGUUGACAAAAAUCAUUUCGCCCUUUGUUCAGAAAAAAAAAAAAACCUUAAAACUCUAUCCCCCUCUCUGGUUUUCUCUGGGCACUGCCCAGUAUCCGGCGAAUGGAGCCGCCGUGGCGCCAUCAUGUAAGGUGGUCGGAGGCCCCCAGGUUAGUUUCCGUCCUUUUUUUCUCUCUUUUUUUUAUAUUAUAUAUGUAUAGUUUUUUAAAUAAAAGGAAAAUAAAAUUUUUUGAAUAGGAGCAGUUUCGAAACUGGAAAAAUAAAGAAAAAAAUGACCUUCUCACGUUUCCCUUUGGUUUUUUUUUCUUCGAUCUGCUUUGCUGCUUGUUGUUCUUAUGCUUGAAUCUGUUUUUGUAUUUUACAAAAAAAAAAAAACCCCCCCGAAGAAAAAGAUUACAAUCGGUUCAAAAUGGCUUUAUAGCCAAUUUUUACACAUUUUUUAGUCUAUUUUGCAUGCUGUCACUUCUUGCUUUUAAUCUUUGUAGGUGCAAAUGGGCGGUGCAAGUGGAGGGCGGUGCUGCAGUGGCGGUGGCAGGGCUGUCAGGGGCUAGGUGCGGCGGCAGCAGGCUUGGGUUUCAGUUUUUUGCUGACACUGAGUUUAGUUUUGGGCCAAUCGGGCCGCCUAUGGUUUUAGAGUUUUGGUUUGGGCCAUUUGGGCAUGUUGUAAAUGGACUGGACUUUACUAAUUGUUUUGUUUUAUUUUAUUUUUGGGUUGUUUGUUUAGGGCCCGGGCAAUUUGGGCUGAUUACACGAUUUUUCUAUCAAUUCAUUAAAAUUUUAAAUUUUGCACUAUCAUCAUUAAUUUAUUAUUUUGAAAUUUCAAAAAUAGUUUGUAAUCGUUGUAAAGAGGAUCAAACAACAAAAGAAACCUUAAAUUCCAAGAAACACUAUAACAGUUGAGGAGAACAGAAGUUCAAAGCGAAAGGAAAAAGCAUCAUACCUCUGAAUUAAUUUAUGAAGUCAACAUAUUAGCUUAGAAUAAUGAACAAUUAAACACAUUACAAACGAAAACCAUAAAAAUACAAAAAUAAUUAGCAACCGGCAGCCCAGCCCACUAUAGCCAGCCUCUGUCACACUUAGCCCAUCCUAUCUGUUAACUUUUACAUCGAAAUGGCCCGACUUGUGUUUCAUCCAAACUUCUAUCAAUUGAGAAAAUUUUGGGAUAAUUUCUAUAGAAAUUCUUACAAAAUUUCAGCCAAUGUUUGUUAGUAUUAGUAAAAAUAAUAAACUCUUCUAAACUCUUAGAUGUUGAUGGCCUAAUUCGAGUAAAUUUUAACUUGUACGGUUAUAGCUGUCCAAAAAAAUUAUUUUAAAGUUUAAUUAAUUGAAAUGAAAAUAAAAACAAGAUUCACAGGAUGCUACUAGGCAACUAUUUAAAUUAGUAAAAUUCAUUUGAAGUCGAUUGAGUCUUAACUUGAUUGGUAUUGGUGUCAGUGCAGGAAAAUGUAGGUUUAAGUGCGCUAAAACUCAUUAUCCUUCUAUUUAAAGGUUAAAGAUGGACUAUAAAUAAUUUUAGACAUGGUAUAAAAAAAGUAAAUAUAUUAAAAACUUAUAAUAAAUCUAAUAUUAAAAAAAAACCUCAUUUGAAACAGUUUAGUCGCUAAUGUUAUUCUACUGGGCUAAGAAUAUGAAUGAGUUAUAUAAUUAGUAAACUUACUAUACUUUUUUAAAUUUUAAAAAUUCACUCUUAAUUACAAUAAUUAUUGUUAAAUUCAUUAAUUACAAUGUCGUAUAUUUCUUUAACUAUUAUAUUUUAAUGACUAUUGUUCGUCAAGAUUGAAAUUUCAAAUAUUAAAAAAAAUAUAAGAGCUAAAAAUAAUUAAAUUAGAGUCGAUUGAGUCUUAAUUUGUUGGCAUUGACCUUGUUACCAAUAUAUAAAUUUGAGUUUGAGCGCGUUGAAUAGUAUUUAUUCCCUUAUUUAAAGGUUGAGAAAAUGGUUAGGUAUACUUAUAAACAUCUUAUAAAAAAUAAUUUAGAUUUUUUUUUACAAUGACACAUAUGAACAAAUAAAACUAAAAUUAAUAAUUAAAUUAUAAGGAAUUAAAUAAACAAUUUACGGAUAGUAGAGGGAGAUUAAAACAUUUUCCUGUCACCCAUUUUUUUUUAUAGCAGCAGUUGAUGAAGAUAAUGUUAUACAGAAAGGUGUCAUCAAAGCACUGCAUCGUACAUACAACCAAAAAAACAAAUGACUUUCUGCUGUUUACUUUUUUGACCAUCCAGGGAACUCCAUGAAUGUUUUUUUGGUGAAAACCUACCACCACCGGCAAAUCAAACUUGGCUUUGACUUGUAGUUAAAAAGCAAAGUCCUUCAUGGUUAAGGGGGGGGGGGCACUUACAAGUAUAAAUUCACAACUUCCCUUGUAACACAAUCUAGCUAGCUACAAGGUGAAAUUUGAAAAGAAGAGAAAAAAUGCAUAAUCCACCACCACCAGACCCCCACCACCCACAUCCGCAACCCCAUGCUCCGCCUCCAGGUCCGCCACAUGCUGAUCAUCCUCCUCCAGGCCAUGCUCCUCCUCCUGGGCCAGGCCCCCAUGCGCCACCGCCAGGACCAGGUGGUCCAGGUCAUCAUCCCGAGCCACACAAGCCUCGUCCAUGAUCCUUAUACCGUGAAUACAAUAUUAUGUAAGCUUAGGCUGGGUACCGUACUUAUGUAAUAAAUUAAGAAAACCUAUUUCUACUAUAAUAAUAAUAAAGAU
RNAcentral lists this long non-coding RNA (4882 nucleotides) under Gossypium barbadense (sea-island cotton). Its description in RNAcentral is "long non-coding RNA (GBAR_LNC015904)". Lineage: Eukaryota; Viridiplantae; Streptophyta; Magnoliopsida; Malvales; Malvaceae. The record is from RNAcentral.